This 253-nucleotide ribosomal RNA is filed under the name uncultured bacterium. RNAcentral describes it as "partial 16S ribosomal RNA". It matches the Rfam family "Bacterial small subunit ribosomal RNA", at positions 524 to 776 of the family's 1533-position model. The record is from RNAcentral.
UACGUAGGGUGCAAGCGUUAAUCGGAAUUACUGGGCGUAAAGCGUGCGCAGGCGGUUUUGUAAGUCUGACGUGAAAGCCCCGGGCUUAACCUGGGAAUUGCGUUGGAGACUGCAAGGCUUGAAUCUGGCAGAGGGGGGUAGAAUUCCACGUGUAGCAGUGAAAUGCGUAGAGAUGUGGAGGAACACCGAUGGCGAAGGCAGCCCCCUGGGCUAACACUGACGCUCAUGCACGAAAGCGUGGGGAGCAAACAGG